GAAACUGCCUGAUGGAGGGGGAUAACUACUGGAAACGGUAGCUAAUACCGCAUAACGUCGCAAGACCAAAGUGGGGGACCUUCGGGCCUCAUGCCAUCAGAUGUGCCCAGAUGGGAUUAGCUAGUAGGUGGGGUAACGGCUCACCUAGGCGACGAUCCCUAGCUGGUCUGAGAGGAUGACCAGCCACACUGGAACUGAGACACGGUCCAGACUCCUACGGGAGGCAGCAGUGGGGAAUAUUGCACAAUGGGCGCAAGCCUGAUGCAGCCAUGCCGCGUGUGUGAAGAAGGCCUUCGGGUUGUAAAGCACUUUCAGCGGGGAGGAAGGCGGUGAGGUUAAUAACCUCACCGAUUGACGUUACCCGCAGAAGAAGCACCGGCUAACUCCGUGCCAGCAGCCGCGG
This 403-nucleotide ribosomal RNA is filed under the name Klebsiella pneumoniae. RNAcentral describes it as "bacterial SSU rRNA". It matches the Rfam family "Bacterial small subunit ribosomal RNA", at positions 122 to 520 of the family's 1533-position model. The record is from RNAcentral. Lineage: Bacteria; Pseudomonadati; Pseudomonadota; Gammaproteobacteria; Enterobacterales; Enterobacteriaceae.